This is a long non-coding RNA of Apis dorsata (giant honeybee), 488 nucleotides long. RefSeq lists it as uncharacterized. NCBI's taxonomy places the organism in Eukaryota, Metazoa, Arthropoda, Insecta, Hymenoptera, Apidae. The record is from RefSeq and is a predicted model, not a curated record. The transcript is spliced from 2 exons.
AAUUAGGGAAAUUUUUUCGUUGCAUAAAGUUAGACGAUGAAAUUGUCAAAGGAAAAAAACGUUAUCGAUACAAUACUUUACUUUAAAAGAGUCAGCGUUUAAUUCUCGAACAGCGCUGGUUCCACUCGAACUGGACUGGACGAGAUCCCUCAGUUGGAUGCAACCGGUUUCGUUUACGACCCUAAAAAACUACGGAGGAUUAAAUUAAAGCCUCGUCGUUCUGUAAUCAUCGACGGACUUAAGUCACCCUGGUUCCAGACCAGACUAGGAAAGGAAAUUGGCUCUCUCUUCGUUGUAGACGUUUCUCGGCUACGCGCACACUUUGCUUUGCUGUAAUUGUAUACAAUCAAUAUCUUCCCUGCGAUUAUUACGUUUUGAAAAUAAACACACUACAACAAACAAUACCAGUUUAGCAUUUAUAUUAUCGAUGUAUGAAUGCCGACAGCCUGACGACAGUCGUACAAAUCGCUCUUCUCAACAGAUAGCGA